UUUUUGCUCCUUUUGACUUAACUUCAUAAAGUCCCUGGCACUUAGACAAAUGUGAUUAGCACACAAAACAAUUUACUAAGUGUCCAGAGCUUUCCUUUUUACGUGGUCUAUAUAGAUUUGCGCUAUGUCCUCUUUCGAGCUCACUUUGCUUAAUAUACAUAUGCUCACUUCUCAUGUUAGUCUAAAUGACAUGUGUUGAGCAUCUAAUCACCAUAACAAUAUCGAAAUGGUCUAAGGGCACAUUUCCCUUUCAAUCUCUCCCUUUUUGGUGAUUUAUGCCAACACAUAAAAAAGCAACUCAUAUUGAACUAACAUAAGAAAACAAGAUAUUCUUUUUUUCUCCCUUUUUAUUCUCUAAUUUUCUUAUUUUUUUUCUUUUUUGUGCAGUUUUUUUGCACUUACCUUUUUAUAUUCUUUUUUUCACAAAAGUGUUGCAAAAACAAGAUAUAACACAAGAGUAUAAAAAAAUUAUCAUCCUCUAUGUGACAGAAUUUUUGCUCUAACUUCAACAGACUGUUUGACCAAUUUAUAGACCUCCAACGCAAAAACUCACAACACGAAAGUUGUAGGUUUCGUUUAUCUUUCUUUUAGUUAUAUAGGUCACCUAUUUUGGAUAAAGUAAGUAGAAGAUAUUGACCCCAAAAUAUAGGGUGGUCCAAAAUUUCAUGAUGACAACAAAUUUACUUCCAAUAUAGAUAACCCCUUAAUAAUUACAUUUUCUGGAAAUAUCGUAAAUAAGAAAGUUGUAUAUAACUUUGUAACCUUUCCAAAAAUACAAGAACACUAAAUUCCGAGUUAUUAUGCGAGAUUUAUGCUCAAAAUACCAAACUGGACAGAAACUAAUCUGAUAACGACGAGAUAAAGAGAUGGAAAAGGUUGAGAUUAGUUUUGGCAAAUAAAUUUGUGGGAUCGCAGCGGAUGAAAAGGAUUAAACUGACCCUAAACAAAUCUAAACUAGCAACAAGACAUUGGCCUAGGACACAAACUCAAUACGGCAGAAUCUGAAACUAAAUUGUGCAAAGGCUAAGACGAAGUCUGUAGGUCAGGAUACACUAAUGGUUUUUAGGGUUAUGAUAAAAUGUUAAGACUCUUUAUUCUUUGGUUUUUUGUGGGUUAUAGGACGAACACAAUGAAUCUAAAUGUUGGAUUAUACCUUAGGGCAACCUAAAUCCUGAUACUACCUAAUAGAGGGCAAGACCUGAUCUUCUGUAAGGUAGGAUAACUUGAUUUGGUGGAAAUCUCGAUGUUGAUGAUCCAAGGCUCCAAGCGAACGGAUCCUCGUAAUCACUACACCACUAUUCAGUUGGUUAUCAUCCGUGCCACACGAGUGACCUCACCAUGAAGGCUUAUCCCUGCAAGGGCAACUAAGAACACAAGCAAGAACAUGAAAGAACGCAAUCAAAACUGUAUUGAUCAUGAGGUGGGGUCUCACAAAACGAUGAACGACGACACUAUUCGAUGACAGAUAUGAUCUAAGCAUAACCCCAAACUCUAAUGUGGCGG
RNAcentral lists this long non-coding RNA (1503 nucleotides) under Zea mays. RNAcentral describes it as "long non-coding RNA (ZMAY_LNC004419)". The record is from RNAcentral. Lineage: Eukaryota; Viridiplantae; Streptophyta; Magnoliopsida; Poales; Poaceae.